Molecule: transfer RNA, 76 nt
Filed under: Vitis vinifera (wine grape)
Lineage: Eukaryota; Viridiplantae; Streptophyta; Magnoliopsida; Vitales; Vitaceae
Description: tRNA-Tyr
Rfam family: tRNA
About the family: Transfer RNA (tRNA) molecules are approximately 80 nucleotides in length. Their secondary structure includes four short double-helical elements and three loops (D, anti-codon, and T loops). Further hydrogen bonds mediate the characteristic L-shaped molecular structure. tRNAs have two regions of fundamental functional importance: the anti-codon, which is responsible for specific mRNA codon recognition, and the 3' end, to which the tRNAs corresponding amino acid is attached (by aminoacyl-tRNA synthetases). tRNAs cope with the degeneracy of the genetic code in two manners: having more than one tRNA (with a specific anti-codon) for a particular amino acid; and 'wobble' base-pairing, i.e. permitting non-standard base-pairing at the 3rd anti-codon position.
Source: RNAcentral
CCGACCUUAAGCUCAGUUGGUAGAGCGGAGGACUGUAGUUAUCCUUAGGUCGCUGGUUCGAAUCCGGCAGGUCGGA